GGGACCGUGUUGUAGCUGUUUUCGUAUUGGGAAAGGAAUGGCAGUUCAAAGAUUGGCCUUUUAAGGAUCAUGUUGAGAUUUUCAAUAAAAUUAUUGGAUUUUUUAUGCGUUUUGAAGACGACAGUUUGGAAUCAGCUAAGAAUGUGAAGCAGUGGAAUGUUAAAAUUAUUUCGAUUAGCAAGAACAAGCGACACCAAGACAGAGCUGCAGCAUUGGAGGUGUGGGAUAGGCUAGAAGAAUUUGUAAGGUCACGGUCUCAUUCUUGAUGUGAAUUUCAUGGCGCACCAUUUUCCCCUUUUUGUGCCUUUACUUGUUGGGGAAUGCUCUUGUUUGGUGUCCUGAUAAUCGUACCGAGACUUGUUCCAGAUGUAAAAUAACACUUCUAGGAAAUCUUAAUGAGAAUUAGUUUAUGACCAAUUAGAUUAUUUGAAAGGAUAAGUUAGGAACUUAGAGAAAUCUGAGUUUAUAUAGCUUACAUGUUGCUAGUGAGAUUGUAUUUGUAAAAGUUAAUGUAUCUCUUGAGAGUUGAGUUUUACUGCUCCAAGCUUAUAUAUGUUUGCUGCAUUGCGCCUAUGCAAGAAAA
Cucurbita maxima (winter squash) is the source of this 583-nucleotide long non-coding RNA. RefSeq lists it as uncharacterized. The record is from RefSeq and is a predicted model, not a curated record. Lineage: Eukaryota; Viridiplantae; Streptophyta; Magnoliopsida; Cucurbitales; Cucurbitaceae. The transcript has 3 exons.